Molecule: transfer RNA, 64 nt
Filed under: Truljalia hibinonis
Lineage: Eukaryota; Metazoa; Arthropoda; Insecta; Orthoptera; Gryllidae
Description: tRNA-His
Source: RNAcentral
ACUUAAUUAGUUUAAUUAGAAUAUUGAUUUGUGGUGUCAAUGGUAUAAUAUAUUAUAUUAAGUU